AUUGAACGCUGGCGGCAUGCUUUACACAUGCAAGUCGAACGGCAGCACAGGGAGCUUGCUCCCGGGUGGCGAGUGGCGCACGGGUGAGUAAUACAUCGGAACGUGUCCUGUUGUGGGGGAUAACUGCUCGAAAGGGUGGCUAAUACCGCAUGAGACCUGAGGGUGAAAGCGGGGGAUCGCAAGACCUCGCGCAAUUGGAGCGGCCGAUGCCCGAUUAGCUAGUUGGUGGGGUAAAGGCUCACCAAGGCGACGAUCGGUAGCUGGUCUGAGAGGAUGAACGGCCACAUUGGGACUGAGAUACGGCCCAGACUCCUACGGGAGGCAGCAGUGGGGAAUAUUGGGCAAUGGGGGGAAACCCUGACCCAGCAACGCCGCGUGAAGGAAGAAGGGCCUUCGGGUUGGUAAACUUCUUUUACCUAGGGCGAAGAAAUAGACGGUACCUGGAGAAAAAGACAACGGCUAACUACGUAG
This 471-nucleotide ribosomal RNA is filed under the name uncultured bacterium. Its description in RNAcentral is "bacterial SSU rRNA". It matches the Rfam family "Bacterial small subunit ribosomal RNA", at positions 29 to 508 of the family's 1533-position model. The record is from RNAcentral.